GACGAACGCUGGCGGCGUGCUUAACACAUGCAAGUCGAACGGUGAAGGGACCAGCUUGCUGGUUCUGGAUGAGUGGCGAACGGGUGAGUAACACGUGAGUAACCUGCCCCCUUCUUCUGGAUAACCGCAUGAAAGUGUGGCUAAUACGGGAUAUUCUGGGUCUGUCGCAUGGCGGGCCCGGGAAAGAUAUUGCUUCGGUGGGGGAUGGGCUCGCGGCCUAUCAGCUUGUUGGUGGGGUGAUGGCCUACCAAGGCGGGGACGGGUAGCCGGCCCGAGGGGGGGGGAGGGUCCAACGGGGACUGGGACACGGCCCCGACUCCGAGGGGGGGGAGCGGUGGGGAAUUUUGCACAAGGGGGGCAAGCCUGAUGCAGGGACGCCGGGUGGGGGAUGGGGGCCUUGGGGUUGUAAACCUUUUUGGCAAGGGAAGCAGGCCUGCUCCUUGUGGGUGGGUGGCGGGUAGCGGGAUAAGAAGCCCCGGCAAACUACUG
RNAcentral lists this ribosomal RNA (489 nucleotides) under uncultured bacterium. Its description in RNAcentral is "partial 16S ribosomal RNA". It matches the Rfam family "Bacterial small subunit ribosomal RNA", at positions 28 to 506 of the family's 1533-position model. The record is from RNAcentral.